RNAcentral lists this microRNA (23 nucleotides) under Sarcophilus harrisii (Tasmanian devil). Its description in RNAcentral is "Sha-Mir-675_5p (mature (guide))". RNAcentral also lists the same sequence under 1 other name. Lineage: Eukaryota; Metazoa; Chordata; Mammalia; Dasyuromorphia; Dasyuridae. The record is from RNAcentral.
CGGAGCGGAGAAAGCAAACAGUG